GAGUUGUAAUUUGCAGAGGGCGCUUUGGUGUCGGCAGCGGUCCAAGUUCCUUGGAACAGGACGUCACAGAGGGUGAGAAUCCCGUACGUGGUCGCUGACCUACACCGUGUAAAGCCCCUUCGAC
This 124-nucleotide ribosomal RNA is filed under the name Pyrenochaetopsis sp. RNAcentral's name for it is "partial large subunit ribosomal RNA". It matches the Rfam family "Eukaryotic large subunit ribosomal RNA", at positions 140 to 258 of the family's 3401-position model. The record is from RNAcentral. Lineage: Eukaryota; Fungi; Ascomycota; Dothideomycetes; Pleosporales; Pyrenochaetopsidaceae.